This 606-nucleotide long non-coding RNA is filed under the name Elaeis guineensis (African oil palm). RNAcentral describes it as "long non-coding RNA (EGUI_LNC015610)". Lineage: Eukaryota; Viridiplantae; Streptophyta; Magnoliopsida; Arecales; Arecaceae. The record is from RNAcentral.
ACGUGAUCCAUGAAAAAAAAAAAAGAACCCCCACGGCUUGCGCCUUACCCCCACUCCUACCUCAUUUACUGCGCGAGGGAUCUGGAAGGGUUGCAAGAAAUAAAAAAAUCCUCACCUGCUACGCAUGGGAUCUAGAAGGGUUCCAAGGAAAAAAAAUAGAAAUCUGUGGGAAGGAGAGCACCUACGAGAGAUUGGAGGAGGGAGCUCGAUGUCGGUGAGGAUCGGGAGGAGAGUGACAGUAGAGACCGACGGGAGAGCAGGGAGGACGUCGGCUUCUCUUUUUUGGAAAUAUGUGGAAAGGAAACCACCACCUUAAGGAGAUCGUGAGGGAGAUCAGAAGAGAUGGCCAACAUCGGUGACGACGGGGAGGAAGAUGAUAGUGGAGAUCGAUAGCAGGCCACGACGAGGGAUUUGUGAGAAGAAAAGCACCUACGGGAGAGAUCCAAAGUGUGCCAAAGGAAAAAAAAAGGAAAAAGUAUUUAGUCGCAUCUGACUUGUGUGCACAGUCAAUUCUGACAUGUUAUAUGCCAUAUGACACGUAAGGAGAGUGGAGGGACGUGCUUUAAUGUAUAGGAUAAAUUAUAUUAUUAUAAUUAUUUUGAUGGG